AAAUCUUGAAAAAAUUAACCGAAACUUGGUCUGCGUCCGGCUGAAGCAACGACACCUGAGCAGCGAUGACACUUAACUGACUCGUUUCUCGACAAUGCAAGUGACCGUUGUGACAAUCCAGUCAUUAUUAUAAAUCCAUCCACCGCAUGUUCAUUCACCACUAUCGAAACCAAAAAAGGCUGUUCUCCGGCAAGCUUAUUGAACCAAGGAUAAUAAGGAGACAUUCUGGUGUAAAUGGUUGGUUGGAAAUUGUUUCCACAACUGGCAUUCUUGGACAUGAUUCCAACCACUCCCACUGUUCCACUGAUGUUUUUGUUUUGCACCAAAGGCGAACCUUCGUCGCAAUGGCAGGGGCUUCCAGUAUCUAGUGACUCCUCCAGCGCAGAUCAUGUAAGCUGAGUAAAACUGAUCCGCGCCGUAAUCUCUGCAGUCUGUUCCGAAUGAAACUUGAAUGGAACGCAGCCCGGCAAUCACUAAACCACCUUCCUUGACUCCCCGUCCAAUGAAGGUGCCAUUGUCGGAAAGAGCUUCUUUCGCCUCACUGUGCGGGAUAAAGUUGACGUUGGUGCUAAAUUCGAUAGGUGGAGACGUCUAAGGAAAGCGCCAAUCAAUUGAACUUUUAGAUUAUGCCACAAGCAAUUUGAUGUCAGCCUUUACGUAUGUUUCGCGAGAUAGUAGCGAUGAUAACGAUGAUAACGAUCAGGCUGACUGCAUCUAGCGGGGAACUCGUGCGUCACGACUCACGCGAGAUCACUUUUUUACAAGGAUAGAUUGGAUAAAACUGGUUGCAAUCCAGCCGUAGUGGAUAUCCAAUUGUAGUAAGGUGACAGCCGUGUGAAAAUGGUCGGUUCAAUCGUUCCAGCUGCGUCGCAGCCCUUAUUCCUCGACAUGACUCCAACAACAAAUCCAUUCUGCAUCAAAGGUGAUCCUUCGUCAUAGUAACAUGGACUUGCAUGGUCUAGUUCAUCUAUGGUGCAGUCUUUAUCCUUGACCAGGCAAUAUCAUGGCUGUGACGCUGAGUAGGAACUGAUAGCGCUUAUCAAGCAACACAACAAAUCAAAUUGAAGAUG
RNAcentral lists this long non-coding RNA (1070 nucleotides) under Daphnia pulicaria. RNAcentral describes it as "uncharacterized LOC124319418, transcript variant X3". Lineage: Eukaryota; Metazoa; Arthropoda; Branchiopoda; Diplostraca; Daphniidae. The record is from RNAcentral.